RNAcentral lists this transfer RNA (75 nucleotides) under Deltaproteobacteria bacterium. Its description in RNAcentral is "tRNA-Val". It matches the Rfam family "tRNA". Rfam says of the family: Transfer RNA (tRNA) molecules are approximately 80 nucleotides in length. RNAcentral also lists the same sequence under 1 other name. Lineage: Bacteria; Pseudomonadati; Myxococcota; Myxococcia. The record is from RNAcentral.
GGGCGAUUAACUCAGUGGUAGAGUGCCACCUUCACACGGUGGAAGUCACUGGUUCAAGUCCAGUAUCGCCCACCA